CUCACAUUACUGGAGUAGGGAUAUAGUCACUCACAUUACUGGGGUAGGGAGAUAGUCACUCACAUUACUGGGGAAGGGAUAUGGUCACUCACAUUACUGGGGUAGGGAUAUAGUCACUCACAUUACUGGGGAAGGGAUAUAGUCACUCACAUUACUGGAGUAGGGAUAUGGUCACUCACAUUACUGGAGUAGGGAUAUGGUCACUCACAUUACUGGGGUAGGGAGAUAGUCACUCACAUUGCUACUGAUUAAAAGCCCACAGCCUAACAGACUUGAGAGAAGCAAGUAACUAAACUCAUUUCAUUCCUGUAAGAGUAGAUGCUACUACUCAAAUUAUUGCACAGUUAUCUUGGCAAUACCGGGGAGAAGAGACACUCUGCUCUUCCACAGAAUAUGGAUGGUCGUGGAUGGGAUUUGAGGUGAACGAACUGGUAAGGACGGCACAAGAGGCUCCAGAAUGUGUCAGUGUGCACAGGUCUAACUCAGCUUCCCUCCAAUGGGAAGGAGAUAAAUGAAAGAUAUCUUGAUGGGAGGUGAACAUGAUCAAAAUAUACUGUGUACAUGUAUGCAAUUAUAAAAACAAUAACAUAUUUGGGCCAGGAGAGGUGGCUUGGUGGUUAAGAGCACAUAUAGUUCUUGCAGGGGGCCUGAGUUCAGUUCCUAGCACCCAGAUCACAACUGCCUGUAACUCCAACUCGGGGGAUCUGACAUCUCUGGCCUCUGAAGGCACUUGUACUCAAUGUGUGUUAUGGUGGAAACUUCACCCCAUGGGAAGGGUGAUAACUGCCAGAAUGAAGGGAAUGGAGAAGUGUCCUGAUAGUAAAGAAAAAGCAAGGGUGAAUGAGUGAGACAGGGUGGCCUUCCAGCCCCCUACCCACAGAGGAGAUGGGAAAGAGAGACCGGGAAAUCACAUGCCUGUUUUAUGGGGGACAGUUUAAAUACCCUGUGGGAGUGGUCUUGAGGAUUUCUGGGGGAGGCAUCAUCAUUUGGCGGGCUUUCUGAGAUGCAGCAGGGUUUGGAGGGAGAUAGGGGAUGAGGGCUUGGGUGGAACUUCCACCAUAACAUUCCAGACUCUUUGGAUAUAUGGAUGCCCGGGGCCGGGGUGAAGCUUCCACCCAUAACAAUGUGUAUAACCCCUCUUCCCAAACAUAUAAUUUAAAAAUAUAAAAAAACCCAUUGUAGACAUGAAACUAUAAUGAAAACAAGCCAUAUUGUAUAAAUGUAUCCAAUUGUAAAACAGAUAAUUUGGAGGGGUUGCUAUAUGAUGGCCUGCAGUGUUGCAACACCGUAUCCAACACUGAGGUUAGGGAAAAUCAGAGAAACUGAGUCACAGAGAAGUUCCUUGCAAGGGCUGCUCAUCAGCUGUGGACCUUGCAGUUCGGACACUGGCGCUAAAUGAGAGAUCACUUCUACCUAUGUUCUGGAGGACAGCACACAUAAAUACUGAGGAAACACAAGGGAAACAUAAAGGAAAAGCAGAAAGUUUGCCUGCCUGUGUUGUGGUAACUCCCUAGGAAGGCAAGGCUGGCAUCUAACUCAUCUCUUCAGAACCAGCACCUGACACCAGGUGACCCCUGGAAGGUGUGGAGAGGAGUGACUAGUGGUAAGGUUAUGGGAGUCAGAGACUGGGGGGAUGGGUUUAGUAGGGGAGACAGCACUGGGAUUCCAGCCUGUGAAAGGAAGUUCCUCAAUCUCUUACUCAUGAACUGGCUUAUGACCUAAGGUCUGGGUUCCUGUCCUGGACUUGCUUGCAAUGAGUGAGGCCUGAGACAUCCAGGAAGCCACAGUUCAUAGAACACUUACAUUCUCUGUGAAUGCCAGGCAGUGAUAAGAAGGUUGGUUGUGGUGGUGAGGAUGAGGAUGAGGAUGAGGAGGCGGGUUAGGGUUAGGCCAGGAGAGAUUCUUGGAAGAGAUAGCCAGGAGAUGCAGUAACUGCAAAGCAGGCAAGAAUGGGGCAGAAGGCUGAUGCCCCUAGUUGGGCUUACAGUACAUUGAUGCAUCCCAGAAGCAUGGGAGAAAGCUGCUCUGAGUGCCCAGAACAAGAUCUGGAGGGAAAAGGAAAAAGAAUAGUUCUUCUCAUACCCAGGGCUAUCUCACAGCCCAACUCCUCUGCUGUGGGGCUUCAAAGUCUGCCAUGUGGAUGACACUCACACCCCCUCCUUCCUACUCCAGUGUGGAGGAGGGACCAGCUCCCAGUGGGAGGAGCAAGGGAGCUGCCUGCCUGUCUGGUCCCUCAUCUCAGCCAGACUGGGUAUCUUCCUCUUAAUUGCAGUCUUUUUCCUCAACAGACAUCGCUUUCUCAUCAGAGUCCCUUAAACCUCCCUUGGGGCUCCCAGCCAUCUUCCUCCUCCACUGGCCCAUAGCAGCUCUCAUGGUCUCCCCUGAGAUGGCCCACAGUGAUAAAACCCUGGUAAGAGAGUCAGGAGUGAAGGGGCCAACUUUCUUCAUCUUGGGCUUUCUUUCUCCUGGUUCCUAUAAUGCCCAAAACAAAUUUCUCUCAGUGUCCCUCCCCAGGAACCCAGCUGCUCCACCCCUCCCCACCUUCAGGACUUGGGCUCUGGGUGGGGAGGCAUAGCUCAGCCUGUGGGAUUUCCCCAGUCCGCAGUAGCAGGAAGUCUGAGUUGGAGAGGGAAAGCCUGACUCUUGGCGGCUGUCCAGUCACUAAGCAAGACCAAAGUUCAGGGGAGAGGCCUGUUUCCCUGGUCAGCUGGGGAUACACACUGACCUCUGCUCAUCUGGAUUUGGGGACUUGGGUGUCUGAGGUUGAAGGGCAAGACCAAGUUAAGGGGAAGGAAGUAGAGGAACUUGAGGCUGGAGAGAAACAGGAGACUGAGCCCUUCCCGCCUCUCUGGGUCUUGCUUUUGCUGUCCCUGAUCCCUGUCCAUGCCGUCAUGUAGGCUGGUGACUUCUGGGGUAGGUGGUUUUCUCGGGCUGGACACCUGUGUCAGGUGAGACCUGGGGCUGAUGAGGAUGCAGGAGCACCCCACCCUCCAUGCUUACAGAAACCCCAGUAGUGGUCCCUGAGAAGUAGGUUUGUGGACACAAUCCCCAUGCAGUUCAAUUAUCAGGCAGUGAGGAGGGCAUCUUGAAACUGGCUUUUUCUGGUGUCUUAUCUCCACUUUGGUGAGGCUGCAUUAGAAGAAAUGGUUCUUUUAACAGGGUGGUAGAGAAGAACCUCUUCUUCCAGGAAAGGCCUCAUUGUCAAUACUGACUCUUAUUUAAUCUCUCAGUCUCCUCUGUUCUUACCCACGACUCCCUUAGUUCUCUGGCUCCAAAUGAGCCCCUGGGGACCUUCAGCAGCAAACACAACAGGGGAAGAGCAACAGCCAGUGAUAGCCCUUGGGAAAGAUGGAGCAGAAAACACUGGUGACAGUGCACAUUCCCUGUCCCAUCAGCCAGGCAUGCCGCUUACACCCUCUAGGCCUCCUACUCGCUAAAUCUCUUUUUAGAGGCUAGGCUUUCCCAUUACCUAUUCCAGAGCAAAGGUAAGAAUGGUGCAAAGGGGGAGGGUGAGUAUGAGGGAGAGCCUGAGUGGGUCAGCAGGUAUUAAACUCUAGAAAAAAAAAAAAAAGGGUGACAGAAAGUGGCUAUUGGUGUGCUUUAAAAGGAAAACAUACAUCUGGGUGGCGGUGGCACACGCCUUUAAUCCCAGUACUUGGGAGGCAGAGGCAGGGGGAUCUCUAUGAGUUCAAGGCCAGUCUGGUCUAUAUGGGCUAGUUCCAGGACAGCUAGGCUACACAAAAGAAACCCCCCAAAAUCAUAUCCCUGAGCCACUAUCGCCCCCUGGUGGUGUGUUCCUCAUGCUGGGUUCCUGGCCUUGUGAUUGGACAACCCUUCCCCGGAGUGUGGACAGAGGUGGACAGAGGUGGAGAUAUCCAGUGAUAUGUGUAGGUAACUUACAAACAGAAGAUGUGGCCAGAGAAUGCUCUAGCUUACUAGAAAUCAUUGAAGUGAUUGAACAGUGAGAUAUGCUGUUGCCUCUGUUACGUAAGAAGGACCCUAAAAGGGCUCUUAAGUGCCCGAAACCUGGGAAUAUACCUAGGAAUAAUCCUAAGGAAGAAGAUUAAAAUCUCAGAAACACACCCUGCUUAUCCACAGUCUAUUUUAAAGGCCUUUUGGAUUUCGAAAAGUAGCAUGGCACGAAACUAAGGGAGCAGCUUAGUUUCAUGAAGGCAAGUAGUUAAUCUACCAGACACACAGUCGGGACACAGACCACUGCCACAGCCAGGGCUAUGCAUCCCUUGUAAACCUCAUCCCAUAACCACUUUUUAAAAUAGAGUUUAAUCCCUUCAGAAUGCAACCAUAAACAUGACACCUGAGCUUGUCUGAGGUGGGGGUCUUCACAUGGGCAAUUACUUUUGUGUCCCUUUCUCCCUUCACUCAGUGGCACAGGAGUUUGUCCCCUGUAACAGGCCUGGCAGAAAUGAAGAUAGUCUAUAGUGAUACUUGUGUCUCUCAGUCUGACUGUUCUAUCAGAGGACUGAAACAAUGGACUCCAAAGAAAUGGGAGUUCCCUAGGUAUCUCAUGCUGGGAAAAGUAAAAGCCUCCAGUCGUUGGGAAACUUUUCUCUCAGAAAAGAGAUCUCACACAGUUCUAACGAACUUGUCAAGCCAUCUUACAGGAUGAGACUGAAGGCUGGACAGUCAUGGGUCAGUGAUGGACAGGACCACACCUUUACCAGAACCGCAUUGCUGUUCAUAUACUUGGCCUUCUAUUUAAAAUUUAGUUCUAUUUCAGGACCUUGAAGAUAGACUUGAGAGGGUUCCCUGGAUCUCUUCGUCCCUCUUUCCAAUGUGACCACAUCGAAUAAAUCUCCCUUUUCUGUUAUUUUAAUUGACUUAUUGAGGAAGGGUGGCUGGACCUGUUCUGGGCAUGAGCUGUGACCCUCAAGUUUGAUAGCACCAUCUGUCUUGUCCUGUUGCUGGAGAUCAGGUAGCCAGGGGGCUAGCUAGUGGCUGUGGCCACAUGUGUUACAUACCCAGUGGGUCACAGGCACUAACACUGGGCUCCUUCCUUCCUCUGUCUCAUGGACACUGGGCAGCUCCCUCAGGAUCCUCUCUCCUCCAUGCAGCAUCUGUCAACUCUCUUCCUGUUCCCAAGCACCCCCAUCACCAGCCUGCAGUCCCCCUUCCUAUCCUUGGGACCGCAAAGACAGAGCCCAGUCUUAGUAUAUUAUUCUCUCUCCUGUCCACACACUUUGUCCUGCAGGCCAUGAGGUCUACCUAGGACUUCCUUCCCUGAACAAGAACAAGGCAACCAUGCUGACCCCACUCUGUCACCCCUCAUUUCUUACUGAGGCCCCAUUGCAAGGUAUUAGUGCCUCAUCUUCUUUCCCUCAAUUCUUUCUCCAUCCUCCCUGUGGAUCUCAUGGAGUUUGAAGGAAUAGUCCAAUCUUUUCUUUCUUUUUUUUUUCUUUUUUCUUUUUGGUUUUUCGAGACAGGGUUUCUCUGUAGCUUUGGAGUCUAUCCUGGAACUCACUCUGGAGACCAGGCUGGUCUCGAACUCACAGAGAUCUGCCUGCCUCUGCCUCCCGAGUGCUGGGAUUAAAGGCGUGCACCACCAAUGCCCGGCUUAGUCCAGUCUUUUCUAAUUCUGUACUCUGUUUUUUUUUUAUUAUUAUUUGUAUGGUUGUGAGCCUUAUCCUUUAAUGGCUGAGCCAUCUCUCCAGCCCUGUACUCUGUUUUUUAAAGUAAAUUUAUUCUUUGACAGUUUCAUACAUGUUUAUAAUUUUGCCAUCUGAUUAUUCUAAUCCCCCAUGCUCUCUUACAUUCCUUCCUGUUGUGGAAUAUUAGUUUAAGAUGUGCCACAUCCAUUUAUGCUGUGAAAUAUUUGUUUAACAUUGCAAAGAUGUGUUCCAUCCUUUUCUGUUGGAUGUGUUUAACUCUAAAGCUGUGUUACUUUUCCUGUCUAAAGCACCUGAUUGGUCUAAUAAAGAGCUGAACAGCCAAUAGCUAGGCAGGAGAGGAAUCUGCAGGGCUGAUAGGCAGAGAGAAUUAAUAAUAGGAGAAAUGUGAUCUUGAGAAAAGAUCAGGAGAAGAGGGAAGAGUGAGAAAAGGAGAAGGAGAGGAGUAUGCCAGGGGCCAGCCACCCAACCACACAAAGAGCCAAGGAGUAAGAAAGUAAGAAAGACAUACAGAAUCAAGAAAAGCAAAAAGCCCAGAGGCAAAAUGUAGAAGAAGAGAAAUGGGUUAAUUAGUUAAGUUAGAAAAGCUAGCUAGAAACAAGUCAAGCUAAGGCCAGGCAUUCAUAAAAAUACAUCUCUGUAUUUAUUUGGGAGCUGGGUGGUGGGCCCCCAAAGAGUAAAGAGUAAAAAAACCAACUAUACCUUCUACUCUGUCAACUUCCCCUUCCUGCCAAUAAUUUCCCCUCCCACUUUCAUGUCUUUUUGUUGUUUUGUGACCCACUGAAUUUAAUGAAGGCUGCCCCCAUGAACAUGGAUGGAGCUAAUGCUGGAGCAUGGCUACUACAAACUACAAUGACUCUCUCUCCCUGCAGCAGCCUUCACCAGCCAGUGAAGGGGGAGGGGCGAGGCUCCAUGAGUCCCCAGAUAUUACCAGGUGUUGCACAGUCCCAGUGCAGGCAGUCUCAGCUGCUGUGCAUUUGUGAUUGCGGCAGCCAUGUCGGGUCCAGUAGAUAGUUUUUCACAGACUUCCUUCUCCUCUCCUGGAUCUUAUAUUCUUUCCGCAUCCUCCUUUGCUAUGUUUCCUGAGCAUUGGACAGGAUGAUAUUUAUGUCCUAUUCAGGGAUGAGCACUCAAUAGUCACUAAUUCUUAGCACCUUAAGCCAUGAAUUUUUGUUGUUCAUUGCUAAAAGAAGCUUAUCUAGUCAAGGCCGAGAGAAGCACAGUCUAUGGGUAUGAACAUAAAUAGGAGACUGUUUUAAUAUGUCUAUUUAGCAAAACAAAAGUAGGUUCACUCAAGGCUUAAGACCUCUGUAGCUGUGAGUCUUUGACCAGGAACACAGUACCAGAAAUGAAUUCCUUGUAGAAUGGGUCUGAGAUACAACCAGAAAGUGGUUGGUUACUAUCACAAUAGUUAUGCCACUAUUGUACUAAUAGGCAGGUCUUACCUGAAAGGUUGGUAUUGUAAGAUGCAGGGUCCACUGAUGGGUAAAACUUUGUUUGUUUGUUUGAUUUUUUUUUUGUUUUUGUUUUUCAAGACAGUGUUUCUCUGUGUCCUCGAACUCACAGAGAUCCGCCUGCCUCUGCCUCCCAAGUGCUGGGAUUAAAGGCAUGACCCACCACCACCCAGCAGGUAAGACUGUUAUACUUUGUUCUUUGAUAAUUUAUCUUUGUGUAACCAGUGCUGAGUCUUGCACCAUUUUCAAAGUGUAUCUUUUUUGUGAUUGUCAUCUUGGUGUGUAAGGUCACAAGAGUUCCUGAAUUUUUUUUUUUGUGUGUGUGUGUACUUAGGGCCAGGAUUUAGUGGGGAUACUUCCCAGGAAAUGUUGGCAAGGGGAAGAAAGAUUGUGACACCUGCUCUCCUUGUCAACCUGUGGAGAGGCAAGGCUGGGUCUGGGUGAUUUGCUAUCUCCAGGAGAGAGGGUCUACUCCCACAUUUUGUCCUUUCCUGUAGGACAAGCCUGGACAUUGAGAUCAGCAGAUCACUGCUCCAUAUGUCCAAAUUGGGUGUCAGCAAUUUUAUAAGAUGGGAAAGCAGUUGUCUAGGUCUAGGCUUGGGGGACAUGGGGGCCUGAAGGGAAUUUGUAGUUCUCUGGCUUAGAGAAAUAGAACUAAUGAAAUUGUGGAAAGUCAUGGAUGUAGACUGUCCCAGGAGAUCAAACCCCCAAUAUUUGUUGGGGUGUGUUUAGGGAACACAAGGCCAAGUUCCAGGGUUAUUUCUGUCCUGCUAUUUUUGUUCCUGGCCAUGCUCACUGUGGUGCUUUGGAUGAAAAUGCAGCGCCCUCACCAUAGGCUCAUAUAUUUGCAUGCUUAGUCCCUAGUUGAUGAAUUGUUUGGAAAGAACUAGGAGGUGAGUUCUUGUUGGAGAAGGUGUGUCUCUGGGAGUGCAAAAGCCCUGAGCCCCCGCCCCGCCCCCCUGCCUAUGGAUAAGGAUGUAAAGUUGUCAGCUGUUGCUCCAGCUCCAUGCCUGUCUGUUUCCUGCCAUGAUGAUCAUGUACUAACCCUCUAAAACUGUAAGCGAGCCUCAAACUAAAGCUUUCUUUUUAUAAGAGUUGCCUUGGUCAUGGUGUCUCUCCACAGCAAUAGAACAGUGACUAAGACAUUCACCAAGUCAGGAGAUGAGUCCAUGGGCUCAGAUUUGACAGACACACCAGGACAUGUGAGCCACAGUCACUGUCAGUUCCCACUUGGCAUCUGGUUUCUCUCUGCAUGUUAGGCAAGAGUCAGAGGAGGGCCCGUGAAGGAUGGGAGGCAUCCCCUCCAAGGCUCAGACUGAGCAGAAGUCAGGACUGGAGUUGGAGGUCUGUGGGACCUUAGUGUCUGGGAGGCCAGGCUGCAGAGGCCCAAGCAGACAGGAGCGUCUGUGAAGAGACCGGUGUGGAAUCUUCCUGGGAAAGAGCUGCUGAGAGCUCCCGCAGGUGAAGUCCACCUUGUGGGAAUCCCUCUUGGGAGCCUGGUCUGUAAGGACACCUGUCUUCAUUCUACAGCUUUUUAGGGGGAGUUGUUUUGCUUUUUCUGCUGAGUUUUAAGACUUUAUUGCCUUGGGCAGUCCCCCAGCCCUUAGGAGCUCUUGUCCCACACAAAUGAGGCCAGCUCCUUCAGUCUCUGGCUACCUGGCCAAUCAGGAACAGAGAUCUGUCCUCAAGGCUACAUUUAUGAUCUUCCCCCACAGUAUGGACUGCACCUGUCCUUUGUAGUCACCUGCUACCCUCCAGGAUACUUCCCUGUGUCAUUUCAGAAUCACAUGGUCUGGCCUUCUCAGUCUCCCUGUGAGUAAUGCCUCCAGGGGCCAAUGCACUGGAGCUCACAGCCUCCUGGAAUGGCCUUCUGCUUCACCUCCCACUAGCAUCUUAAACAGUGAUCUUGCUUCUGUCCUUGUGCCCAGAGAGGCUGGCACAAGUGGACACUUACUAUAGGCUUGUCCAGUGGUGACCCAAGAAGAUGGACGAUGUCUUCUCAUUGAAUCACUAUUGGUAAUUUGGUUAUCAGUCACCAGAUGGUGAAUGUGCCCAGGUCCUGGAAGUAGAGCUGCCGGCAGGCUGUGGCAAAGCUUGGCAUGGCUGCCUUGGCUUCAAAGGGGGGAAUAAUGUCUCCCUGUCUGUUUCAGAAUGAUCUCAGGGAAGACAAGGCUAAGACUGGUCAGAUCCUGAGAAGCUAGGAAAGGGAGGCACACCUCAGAACAGUUAGCCAUAAUCUCUUCUGUUAUUGGAGGUAGCGGUGGUCCAUGGCUUUCUCCAUACCUUCUCAGGGAACUUCUUCCUGUCUCAGGCAAACUCCCAGUACUUUUAAAGAGUUCUGGCUUCUUUCCAACAGCACUUCCCUUUGUACAGGCCUUUCUAACACUUGUACCACAGUCACUAAGCCAGGGCAUGCCCUUCUGGUGUUCAACAUUGAAGGGGACCUGUGUUUGGGGGAGGAUCUGAGUCUGCUCUCAGUCAUGGAGUAGUGGGAAGCUCUUAGUAGCUGUGGUCAGUACUGUGCAUUUUCAGUUGAGAUACUUCAAAUGGGCCUCCUCUCCAAGUUUACUUUUUCUCUUCCUCUGAGGCUGUCACAGACCUGCCUCAGCUUCACAGAUUUUCUAGUCUAUCCACUCUCUCAUACAAGAUGAGGCAUCUCACCACAAGGAAAGCUUCCUUUCAAAUUUCUCACACAACUAUGCGUUUCAUAAGCAAUAGUAUUAAUGGAAUGGUGUUAAGGUCAAAACACGGGACCUGGAACAAGCCAAGAUAGGUCACAUGUCCUCAACAGGCUAAUUAAAGAGACAAAGUAUUCCUGGAAUACCAGGACUCUGAAGCUGGAUGGGCCCAGAGUCCUAGAAUAGAACCCAAUACGACUGGAGAAAAAAAAGUCAAUGUAAUGAUGCCUAACAUAUUCUGCUAUACUCAUAGAUUGGUGCCUAGCCCAAUAGUCAUUAGAGAGGCUUCAUCCAGUAACCGAUGGAAACAGAUGCAGAGACCCACAGUCAAACAUUAGGCCAAGCUCCGGGAAUCCUACCUCUUCAAUAAGGAGGAAGGAUUGUAGGAACCAGAGUGGUCAAGGACUUCACAAGAAAACCCACAGAAUCAAAUAACCUGGGCACAUAGGAGCUCAUAGAUGCUGAACUGACAACCAGGAAUACUGCAUGGGACUGACCUAGGCCCUCUGCAUAUGUGUGACAGUUGUGUAACUGGGUCUUCUUGUGGGACUCCUAACAAUGGGAACAGGGGUUGUCUUUGACUCUUUUGCCGGCUUGGAACAUACUCUUCAUACUGAAUUGCCUUGCCCAGCCUAAUUCAAGGCGAGGUGUUUAGUUGUACUACAACUUUGUAUGCCAUGUUUUGUCUAUAUCCAUGGGAGGCCUAUCCUUUCCUGAACAGAAAUGGAGGAGUGGAUGAGGGGAGUGCAGAGAGGAGGUAGGGAAACUGUGAUCAGGAUGUAAAAUUUAAAAAAAAAAAGAUUAUUUACUUGAAAUUUAAAAUCUGAAAUGUGAUAUUUAAUAAUAAAAUUUUACUUAUAUUACUUAUUAGAAAUAAAAUGCCUGCCUUCCCAAGGGUGGGGUAAAAGAGACAAAGUAAUAGUGAAAAGCAGAAAAAUAGAGGUUUGCUUACUGUGGUUACACUAGGAAGAGAAGCAAAGAGCUCAAGUGGCUUUCUAAGUCCAUAUUUGGGGUCCUAACACGAGGCUUAGGUUAGGUAGAAGGCAAUAGGCACACAUAGCUCAGUAGUGAAGGUGUGGUCCAACUUGUCAUCUUUAUCCCAGCUCCAGUCCUCUGAGAAGUUAUCUGACAAGCUGUCAGAACUGUGGGGAAUCUCUUUUCUGGGAGGCUGAUUGAUCAUUUGGGUGUCUUUGUUUCAGUAGGCAAAGGGAGGGGGCACAAGGUGUCUUUAGAAUGUCUUAAUUCCCGUUGGAAAGGUUAUAAUAGGGGCUUGGUAAUCCCUAUAAUAGAUAUUUAGGACUGGGAAGUUGUUCUGCUUGAUAAUCUAUCCAUACUGGUAGGUCCCUGCCACCAUGCCCUCCCUAUAGAUGAGUCAGAGCCCUUUAAGACCCUGGUGGAGAUAGCAAGCUCUAAACACAGAAAAAGGACAUAUUGGACUAAUGUGUUCACAUAUUAAUAGUGGGUCCUCAGAAACUGCUUUGCAUUUGGACCCUCAAGGUAACUAAAGGCAAGAUGAAAGUCUGGCUUGCAGCUUACAUCUGUUUCCUUUGCUUUGGGUCACUGUCACCUCUGCACACAGACAUGAUAAUCAGUUAAGGGGGAUCUGUCCGAGAGUUGGGAAUACUUACCUCCUCUUUUUCAAGGUUCAGACCACAAAGGUAAGAGGAAGGCACUUAUGGCCUGCUCUUCACUACAUUCUUUUGUGAAUAUCCAGAGGCAUCUAAAAGUCUCCAGGUACUGGCCUAAACAGUCGUGGAUUCUGGGAACAGCAGAGCUUCACAGUGCAGACAAGCCCUUGGGUGAGGCCAAUUAUCUAUGAUGGCGAGGCUGUUCUGGUCCUCCUGAGAACCAGAUGUUCUCUCAAGCAACAGAGCCUUCCUAGGAACACCUUGCAGAACAAGACCUGAGACAGUGAUGGACCAGACUGCACCUUGACUGGCUCUGCUGAGUUCUUCACGCCUAGCCUCUUCCUGGUUCUUUUUUAAGGUAAACAGACAUAGGGUCACCUGACCCCUGUGUCCAUUCCUUUCUCCAUUGCACACACUGAUUAAAUCUUGCUCUCUACUCUUUAUCACUACUUAGUUCUUUAAUUGGUAUAUGACGUUGGGUGGCCAAACCUAAUUCUUUGGGACUAGGACUCCGGGAACUGGGUCUUUUGCCCGGAAACUCUAUUUACAUUUUUAACAUACAGGAUAGACAGCUAAUUUCCAUAAUAUAUCAAGAGCUUUUAUUAUAAAGAAAAAACAACAGUGAAUAGAAGAGUGGAGAAAGACAAUGAAGUGUCAGAAGAAGUAGAAAUGACCAUUCAGCAAGUAAUAGUUUGAAAAUUUGCUAAUUGGUAUAAAUUGCCCCCCCCCCCAUAUUCAGAUAAUAAAACAUGCUCUCCAGUGUGGAGGCCAUUGGAAGCGCAUCCUAUGGGGUGUAAAAUCACAUUUGAGUGGAGGGCUCAUGAGUGGGAUUAGUGGCUAUGAUGUUUUGUAUUGGUAUCAACUUGACAGGGUCUAAAAUCACCUUAGAGACAGAUCUCUGGUCAUGUCUGGGAGGGUAUUUUCAAGUUCAGUUCAUUGAGGUGUAGAUGGCACCAUUUCGUGGGGUGGAGUCCUUGACUGUCACAAGGAAAGUAGUAAACUUAGGAAUUGUUCACAGGAAGCCAGGAAAGCUCCAUCUUCAGAUGUGUAAGGGCAGAGUGAGGGGGCUGUUGGGGAAACAGAAUCUGUGCAUUCCAGCUUCUGAUGCUUUGAUGAUUUCCCAGAGUGUGAGAAAGCAGUCUGUUGCCCAGAAUUCCUAACCUGCAUAGGCUAUCCUGUUAUCACUUGUGAAUCGGAGAUGAGUCGGGGAGAUAGGUUGGUCCAGGAAAGGAGCUGACACAAAUGAGUUUGGUUAGAAGGGAAAGCCUGAUCCCAUCAGGAAGUGGGGGAGCAUUAGGAGAAUUACAGGAUCAUCUCAGAGACAGUGUAAAGGGGCCGGCCGGCUGUCUCCACCUCUGCACUGUUCUUAGCACUAUUGUCUUCCAGGCACCUACUAGAAUGACCAGCUAAGUUGUUUAGAGCAGUCAACCACUUUUCUAGUCCAAACUUCCUAAGCCUUCCACAUUCCUCCAAAAAACAUGGUCAAGUUCUCCACAGCAGUACCCCCUCUUUUGUAUUGAUGACUUCUGUGUUAGAUGUUUUUCUGUUGCUGUAAUAAAAACAUCAUGACCAGAAGUAACUUAGGGAAGAAAGUGUUGAUUUUGGCUUCUGGCUCCUAAGGAAGAGUCCGUAAUGGAGCAGGAGGCAGAGGCAGUCGGUAUCUGGAACAGCAAUCUGAGGCGAUCAAAUCCUCAACCUCAUACAGAAAACUGAGAGUGAGCUACAAGUGGGGAAGGCUACACCCUCAAAGCCUUUCUCCAGGGAUGUGCUUUCUCCAGCAAGGCUCUUCAUCUGAAAGGUUCCAUAACCUCCCCUAACAGUACUGGUAACUGGGGACCAACAGUUCAAUUCCACUAGCCUGUGGGAGACAUUCUCACUCAAACUGGGUGGCUUCUGCCCUGAGUCACACAGAGUUGCUGAAUGUGAGUCCCCUCUGAUUUCUGGAAGUCUCACAAAAACCUGACUGGCUUUGAGGCUUGUGAGGACUGUGGAUUUACUUUUUUUUUUUUUUUUUUAAACCAGGGAAGCUUCCUUUACAUUCGGAGGAGUCUGUUUACUCUUUCCCUGCCAGAGAGCCAUGCUGCUGGGUCUGUGGUUAGGUUGGCCAGUUUCCAUGGGGUACCUGUCUUUUCCUUCAUACUUUUCAGGCUGCCAGCCGAAGGUGUGGCCCAGAUUCAAGGUGGAUCGUCCCACCUCAAGAGAUCUGGAUUAAAGCCUUCAUCCAGCAGCUGGUGGAAAUAGAAGCAGACACCCACAACUAACCACUGAACUGAACUGGAAUCCAGAUGCAGAGAAGGACGAGUAAAGAGCAAAGGGGUCCAGAUCAGGCCGGUGAAACCCACAGAAACAGCUGACCUGAACAUCGGGGAACUGUUGCUCCCCAGACUGGGAUACUAGCAUUGGACUGAUCCAGACCCCAGGAACAUGGGUUUCAGUGAGAAAACCUCGGAAAUCUACGGGACCUCCUGUAGUAGUUCAGUACUUAUCCCUAGCAUAGGUGUGGACUUUGGGAGCCCAUUCCACAUAGAGGAAUACACCCUGAGCCAAGACACACGGGGGUGGGCCUAGGCCCUAUCCCAAAGGAUAUGAUUGACUCUGAUGACACCCUAUGAAAGGCCUCACCUCCAGGGGGAUCAGAAAGGAUAUGUGAUAAGGGAGGGUUUUAGUUGGGGGGGGUGGUAAGGCAGGAGGGAGGGAGAAGGGAACUGGGAUUUUCAUGUAAGACAAUCUUGUUUCUAAUUCAAAUAAAAAAAUCUGCAAAAAAAAAUAGGUAUUCUGCAUGGGUGGACAAUGCUUCUUUUGAGAGACAUAACGGGAAAUCUCAGUGACAAGAACAGGAUACCUCUCUGUGAGUUAUUGGGGUCAGGAAAGCUGAAGAGACACCCUAAAUUAUAAGAUCACUAGAUGUAAGAUUUUAUUACUGAAGACAUACCACACUUCAGUUGCAAGAUGGAGAAAUCAAGCCAUAAAUGAGGUGAAAAAUUUCUCCCUGAUGGUAGCUUUUAUAGGGUUAGAAGAUGCUAUGUAAGACACUGGGGGAGAAAGGCAAUCAAUGGUAUUACCCAGGAGUGAAUCCUUAAUGCUACAAUAUUGACAUGGCAGGUGAGAUGUGCCCACUGAAGUAAGAGUGGCAUGCAUGUUAUAGGGGUAACCAAAAGCUUUCUGGUUUGACUUGAGGACUGCUCCAAAGAAGGUGACUCAUGCCUAAGACUGCAAACAUGGUCCAAAGCUCAUGACUUUGGAAGUCAUAGGCCCUCGUGGGGAACUUACUAUUAUUAUUUUGCUAAAUGAAU
RNAcentral lists this long non-coding RNA (14677 nucleotides) under Cricetulus griseus (Chinese hamster). RNAcentral describes it as "lncRNA (ENSCGRG00015030011.1)". The record is from RNAcentral. Lineage: Eukaryota; Metazoa; Chordata; Mammalia; Rodentia; Cricetidae.